GCAGCCCCUUUCAGAAGCUAGAGUUGAAGGCAACCAACGAGGGAAGGACUGCACCACAAGAACUUGACUCUCAUGGAGAAAAUUGAUUAGAUGCUCAUGUAUUCUUGCCGGUCCAAACAUGGCUCACAUUUGCAUUUGCUGCCCUGGUUUUCAGAAUUCUUUUUUGCUGGGGAAUUAUUAUGUACUUGUCCUUGCAACUUUGACCAUUGAGAGUUUGCUGCAUACCCAUAAAUUUGAGAGUAUAGUAGGGCUAAGUCAACGACUUUGGGAUGCAAAGACAAGGAACCCUGUUAAUCUGUUUUUAUCGUAUAUGUACAGAGAAUGAACUUUUUGGCAAUAA
Molecule: non-coding RNA, 340 nt
Organism: Carica papaya (papaya)
Lineage: Eukaryota; Viridiplantae; Streptophyta; Magnoliopsida; Brassicales; Caricaceae
Source: RefSeq, a predicted model, not a curated record